This 253-nucleotide ribosomal RNA is filed under the name uncultured bacterium. RNAcentral describes it as "partial 16S ribosomal RNA". It matches the Rfam family "Bacterial small subunit ribosomal RNA", at positions 524 to 776 of the family's 1533-position model. The record is from RNAcentral.
UACGUAGGCAGCAAGCGUUGUCCGGAUUUACUGGGCGUAAAGAGCGCGCAGGCGGUCGUGCAAGUCGCGUGUGAAAGCCCCCGGCUCAACUGGGGAGGGUCACGCGAUACUGCUCGACUCGAAGGCAGGAGAGGGAAGUGGAAUUCCCGGUGUAGUGGUGAAAUGCGUAGAUAUCGGGAGGAACACCAGUGGCGAAGGCGACUUCCUGGCCUGUUCUUGACGCUGAGGCGCGAAAGCUAGGGUAGCAAACGGG